AGCAGCCGCGGUAAUUCCAGCUCCAAUAGCGUAUAUUAAAGUUGUUGCAGUUAAAAAGCUCGUAGUUGAAUUUCGGGAUCAAUAUGUCGGUCGUGCCUCCGGUACGUACUGGCAUCAUUGAUUUCUCCCUUCUGACGAACCAUGAUGUCAUUAAUUUGGUGUCAUGGGGAGUCAGGACUGUUACUUUGAAAAAUUAGAGUGUUUAAAGCAGGCUCACGCUUGAAUACAUUAGCAUGGAAUAAUGAAAUAGGACGUUUGACCCUAUUUUGUUGGUUUCUAGGAUCGACGUAAUGAUUAAUAGGGGUAGUUGGGGGCAUUAGUAUUCAAUUGUCAGAGGUGAAAUUCUUGGAUUUAUUGAAGACUAACUACUGCGAAAGCAUUU
Molecule: ribosomal RNA, 382 nt
Filed under: uncultured Glomeromycotina
Lineage: Eukaryota; Fungi; Glomeromycota
Description: SSU rRNA
Rfam family: Eukaryotic small subunit ribosomal RNA
Source: RNAcentral